Molecule: ribosomal RNA, 136 nt
Filed under: uncultured eukaryote
Lineage: Eukaryota
Description: partial 18S ribosomal RNA
Rfam family: Eukaryotic small subunit ribosomal RNA
Source: RNAcentral
CGGUGAGGUGACUUGUCUGGUUAAUUCCGACAACGGACGAGACCUCGACCUACUAAUUAACAAUAUUCAUCCUGAUGGAUAUUAGUUACUUAGGGGGACACUGUGUUAAAACGCAGGGAAGUCCGAGCCUAUAACA